UCUGCCAGAGGUUGUUGCCAUGAGCUGCAGGAUAUCACAAUGCGCUCACUCCAGAAGCAAGGUUAUUAUGGGAGAACAUGCGUCUUUCUUAACUGUAGCGUUUCAUCAGUUGCGACAACAGCCCAAGUAUUUUGCUUCACAUCAACGAGAUGCGUGCAUUUCCGAACCUUUAUCACGUCUGCACCUAGCAACACCUACAACGAUAGGACGAAGAAACGUAAACGUUUAAGGAUAGGAAGUUUGAAGCACUUAUAGUUUUGGAACAAUGGACAAAAUGCGGUUAUGAGUUAUCCAGAAUACCAACAAAUGACAUAUGGCUCUGCCUGUGCUGUAACAAGCGAAAGAGGACAAGACUUGUCUAUGAUGUAGGGAAAGCAAGUAUUUGUCUCGAGCGAUUCUCAUCUCCCAUCCUGUGCGUACAGCGGCAAGCGAAUCAGCAAUGAAGCCUCGGCUAGCCCUCGUGCUCACAGAUACUAGACCCAAUUGAAAAGGAAAAAGGUUGUGGGUUUACUCAAACAAACCUUUCAUAACGUUCUGAAUAACUGUAAAAGGCAACUUGUGUGCUGGAGGUAUCUGGUUGAAAUGAUAGAUACGCACCCCCCAAGACUCGACCCAGCUUACCGAUUAUAGUCGCUAACGCAUUACCGAUGAAAAUUGCGCAGAGAAUACUAAACAUCGCGCAGGUAACGUUGAUAUCCUAUGAUUCCUCAGUCGCACGUCUCGUCUAUCUACAAGUUCAACCACACUCUAAAUACCUAUGUACAUUCGAUGUUAGACGUUUAAAAAAUUUGUAUAUAAGACACCGUAAUUUAGUGUAUUGAGUGUAUUUCUGCAAAUAAUUGUUUUUUUUUUUUUUUUUUUUCGUCUAUUUUGUCAGCACAAACAAUGCGACAUCGGUUUGUUCGUAUGCCAAAGUGUAAGCUAUGUUUUGCAUUACGCCAACUCGAGAAUAUAACACUGCCUUACUCUCUACAAACAUUAUCUUUAACAAAAUACGAACUUUAACGACUAUGUAAUAGGGCUUACGUGUCGAAACAAUUAUGUAGCUACAAUUACUAAAUGAAUGUAAAAAAAACUUCAAGUCUAGCGGGAUGUGUGUGCAGAAAUCGAAAAACUAUAUAAAAUGCCAUACGUUUCAUCAGCCUUCUUGACACUCAAAGACAUCUGACUGUGUUGAGACAUUGAAAAGCAUAGCAUUUACAAAAAAUAUUAAUAAACAUUUCUUGACACGCUUGCCAGCAAAUCUUCUACUGACACUUAACUAAGUUCCACCUAUUUUAUCUAACUGAAUCGUAAACAAGCUAAGCUAAGACAUUAGCUCAAUGCCUCUGUUUCUUCUGUUAAAUGAAAUAAGCAAGUUCUGUGCUGUAUGCGAGUCCUUCGAGUAAAUCCAGUACCUAAAUUAGGAUCACUGGACAGCCCAAAUGAGUCCUCGAUAAACAAACUACUAAAAUAAACCCCAUUACCGAAACAGGUUUACGGAGUGACAGGUUGUCUCGAGCAUUGCGGUCGGUCAGCUAAAAGAGAGCAAUGAAUAAUCUGCAGCGCCAUAAUCGUACGCAAUUGGGCCGACGAUAGUGAUGAAAUCGAGUGACAAAACAGUUACGGCCAGUACAAGACCGGGCCUAGGUUAGAACAGCCGAACCUGCUUUGCAUAGGUUAGCUGAGAAAAUUAUAGUAUAGUUUUGGGUAACAUCGAAGGCACAUGUGCAUUGCAGACU
Varroa destructor (honeybee mite) is the source of this 1721-nucleotide long non-coding RNA. The record is from RefSeq and is a predicted model, not a curated record. NCBI's taxonomy places the organism in Eukaryota, Metazoa, Arthropoda, Arachnida, Mesostigmata, Varroidae.